Molecule: RNA transcript, 708 nt
Organism: Dermacentor andersoni
Lineage: Eukaryota; Metazoa; Arthropoda; Arachnida; Ixodida; Ixodidae
Source: RefSeq, a predicted model, not a curated record
UCAAAGCGCACAGGCUAUUCACCUACAGAUGAUGGGCCUGGAUGACUGGAUGAAUACGAACUGCGAGUGUGUGCAGUCUGAAUUGCUUCGUAAACAUGAUCAUGGAGCUGCCCGCACAAUGGAGUGCUACACGCAAACAAAUAUUCUAGUUGUUUCCGAAAGCCAGAAUACAAUUCCGAAGGAGCAAAUGAUAAAGAUAGAAGAAAAAGUGUACUUCCUCACAACACACAAGGACGGAAUGACGAAGGUUGCACUCAGGACCGUGUUAGGAGAUGAACUGAGUAAUAACCCACCGGAGCAGUUUCCUCACGAAUACCUUGUUCUUGCGGCAAGAAGUAAUUGUCUACUUGUGUCAUAUGGCGAAUCAAGUGAUGUAACCUGAUCAUUUCAUCGACCACAUGCUCUAGUCUGCGUACGGUUUCGCCAUUGUGACCGUUGGCCUACAGGUGCAAGCCCAGUACCCUAAUGUUGUCAACAUGCAGGAUGACGGUGCCGUCCGAUGAAUGCGAAACUGCCUGCUGUGGGGGUUAUCAAGAGAAGAAGUGAACACGAAUACUGAAUGCUAUAAGAAGCUCGAGUUGCUAUGCGCACAGGACACCUACGACAUAACCGAAAGUGAUAACCCGUGCGAGCAGUACGAUGUGAACGAGCCAAGACGUUAAAAAUAUGACAGAACGAAUAAACCUGUAAUCAAGCACAUGAGCAAAA